RNAcentral lists this long non-coding RNA (698 nucleotides) under Phoenix dactylifera (date palm). RNAcentral describes it as "long non-coding RNA (PDAC_LNC018656)". Lineage: Eukaryota; Viridiplantae; Streptophyta; Magnoliopsida; Arecales; Arecaceae. The record is from RNAcentral.
UUGAGUGCGGACAUGAUGGCUGUUCUUUUCCGGUUGAGAUCAUGCAUGGUUAUUAUGAGGACCCGUAUAGGCGUAUGUUUAGUCCCACAUCGACUAUUCAUCGAAAAGAUCUUGAGUUCUUAUAUAGAACUAAAGAACCAAAAAAACAUACUAGCUAGCCUUUUUGAGUGAAAUCUCGAGUGAUGAGAAAUGACAUUAGAGCAAACUCGGCCCAUCGGAGCAGUUAGCCUGAUGAGGAUGUUAAGACUUGAACAGAAGAGUACCUUCCGACUAGCUAAUGGCACUAAGUAUUUCUCAAACUUUAUAAAAGAAUAAAGAAUUACAAAUGAGUGAGAAUUACAUAAUAGUGGGGUUUCAAGGAAGUGGAGAAAUGAUUAUGAGUGAGGAUUACAUAUAGAGGUAAUCCGGGAUCACAGCGGAGGGAUAUGGCGUAACAGAAUAAGAUGUCUUCUCAGCAGGUACCAUCACACGACAAACCAAAGUCUGAGACAAUGGAGAAUUGGAAUCAGGAUCACCUCUUGAGAAGUUUGCCGGCCAAUUUAGCUAAAAUGGUAGGCUCACGGUCAUCCAUGUCCGUCCGAGUUCGUUGGCUAAUCUAGAGCUUAUUUGGAAGCAUGGAAUAAACGCCUUAUAAGCAGAAAGUGAGGGAACGAGCAGCACCGUAGGAGAGGAAUCUCAAAUGAUGGGAGAAGUAUUCC